UACGUAGGGUGCAAGCGUUGUCCGGAAUCACUGGGCGUAAAGGGCGCGUAGGCGGCUUUAUAAGUCGGGGGUGAAAGCCUGUGGCUCAACCACAGAAUUGCCUUCGAUACUGUAGAGCUUGAGACCGGAAGAGGUAAGUGGAACUGCGAGUGUAGAGGUGAAAUUCGUAGAUAUUCGCAAGAACACCAGUGGCGAAGGCGGCUUACUGGUCCGGUUCUGACGCUGAGGCGCGAAAGCGUGGGGAGCAAACAGG
Molecule: ribosomal RNA, 253 nt
Filed under: uncultured bacterium
Lineage: Bacteria
Description: partial 16S ribosomal RNA
Rfam family: Bacterial small subunit ribosomal RNA
Source: RNAcentral